GAUGAACGCUGGCGGCGUGCCUAAUACAUGCAAGUCGAGCGAACGGACGAGAAGCUUGCUUCUCUGAUGUUAGCGGCGGACGGGUGAGUAACACGUGGAUAACCUACCUAUAAGACUGGGAUAACUUCGGGAAACCGGAGCUAAUACCGGAUAAUAUUUUGAACCUCAUGGUUCAAAAGUGAAAGACGGUCUUGCUGUCACUUAUAGAUGGAUCCGCGCUGCAUUAGCUAGUUGGUAAGGUAACGGCUUACCAAGGCAACGAUGCAUAGCCGACCUGAGAGGGUGAUUGGACACACGGGAACUGAGACACGGUCCAGACUCCUACGGGAGGCAGCAGUAGGGAAUCUUACGCAAUGGGCGAAAGCCUGACGGAGCAACGCCGCGUGAGUGAUGAAGGUCUUCGGAUCGUAAAACUCUGUUAUUAGGGAAGAACAUAUGUGUAAGUACCUGUGCACAUCUUGACGGUACCUAAUCAGAAAGCCACGGCUAACUACGUG
This 497-nucleotide ribosomal RNA is filed under the name uncultured bacterium. RNAcentral's name for it is "partial 16S ribosomal RNA". It matches the Rfam family "Bacterial small subunit ribosomal RNA", at positions 28 to 507 of the family's 1533-position model. The record is from RNAcentral.